Non-coding RNA from Misgurnus anguillicaudatus (oriental weatherfish), 2609 nucleotides. The record is from RefSeq and is a predicted model, not a curated record. NCBI's taxonomy places the organism in Eukaryota, Metazoa, Chordata, Actinopteri, Cypriniformes, Cobitidae.
CUAGCACUCAACGUUGGGAUCAUUCAAUAGAGUGUAACCUCAAUCGGUUUUUGCAGCUUCUGGGUCCCGUGUAGAACGAUUUUUUUGUUCUUUUCCAACUCGAUUUUUAACUCCCUAAACUAGUAGGAUGUUCCAACGGGUGAAGCAACAGUGCUGACGGCAGUUUCAGUGUCAAGUUUUCAUGCCAUGACCACUGGGGCGGAAACCAUUAUGACAUUGCCUUGGACAUCAAACUAAACCAUCUCAUUCUGGCUUUUGAGGUGGAUUCUAACCUCGAAAUCUCAGAAGGACAGGUCUAAGAUGGACGCAGCCUCCAUAGGAUGCAACCUUGCAUUUGAGAAACACCCAUAGAACGGUCAACUUACCCCAUACUCUAACCUGAAUGCAGGGAUCAUAAAACUUUAUCUUUUACCUUAAUUGUUAGAUGGGUGUUGAUACCAAACUUUUUUUCUCGUCUACCCAGGAGAAAGUCAUGGUGUUCUGCUGCUAAGGUUGUCAUAAACGUCUUUUAUUCUGCCUACCUGACUCAUGCAGAAUUCUGGCUUGAUGUUUGGUCCACCUGUUAGCUGGCUCUGGUGCUUGGUAGUCUUCUCAAACCUCUGAAUCAAGACCACCAUGAGAGGCCUUCUGAAGACCAUCAUUACGCUUCAGAUCCAGUUGUCUUUACUUUGAGCCUACCACAAUCCCUGUGCACCAGCUAUGGAAAGUGCAGACCAAACUUCUACCUCCACCUAUAGAACUGAACUGGAGUCUAUGAACUAAUGCUGUGUUCGAGACAACUUGGAUGUUGGAUAUUAUUGACCUUAAACCCGUAAGAAGUCAGGAACAGGAAACAAAGUGGAGUAUCCGACCUCUCAACUUGGACCAGAUCGAUCAACACCGACCUCAACGAGAUGCGUCAUUUGACAUUGCAGACAAGGUGGUGGCUAGCCUUUCACAGCCUUACAUGAACCGCAAACAAACUUUAAACAGCACGUAAUAUAGAUGAACAUGAAUGUUAAAUUAUCCAGUAACCGUUUUCUGCCAUAAUUGGCACAAGAGCACAAACUUCUCCUGGCGUCUCAUUAUGUGGUAAACACGCAAAUGUGAUACGUGAUUGACUGGAAUGCAUUGAGGUCGGAGCGAGGUAGGAUAUUUAAUGACAUAACAUCAGAAAUCAGAGUUGUCUGUAACACUGCACAAUAUUUCACCUAAUUGUUAGCACCUGAUUAUCAUGUUUUUAACACAACCAUUGAUUGGUCACACGGAUGAAGGCAGCAAGCAGAGACAUUUGUCCUUUGUAUCUCUCUCAAAAAAAAUAAUCUAUAUUUAAUGUUAAAAAACACUUACAGUAGACUGUGUUAGAUAACUGUGCUCUUGGAAGUCAGCUUAAGUGAACAAAUGGUAAUGUUAAUGAAAAGUUCAUUUUUGUCACUGUUGCAAACUAACCACCACACAGAAUAUGAAGAAUAGCCAGAACUGUGGUAAUAAGCUAGCCCUAAAAUGUUGUGAGAAUCUUGAUGUAUUGGACACAGGUGUGUAGUAUCUGUUAUAGAUUGACGGUUGACAGGUUUGUUUGCAUGUAAUUGCAUUAUUAAUUUGGUGUUGAUAGUCCAAUGUUGAUUUGGGAGAAAUAUUUAAUUUCUUUUCUUUUUAGAUCCUUUCUCUUUUUAAUGCAGCACUUAAGGAUGAACCACCCUGAUCUACUAAGAUGCACAGAUUCAACUCUGGCCCAGCAUCAUCCCCAUACCUCAUCUGCCAUCAGUUUAAUUUAAUGUCUGUCAAUUGCAAAUGCUAUUUAUUUCAGUUAUAUUACAACUUAAUAUUAAAGGAAUAGUCUACCCUUUUGCCAUAUUAAACUAUGUUAUUACCUCAACCUAGAUGAAUUAAUACAUACCUAUCUUUUUCAAUGCGUGCACCGUACAGCGCGUUGUGAAUGUGUUAGCAUUUAGCCUAGCCCCAUUCAUUCCUAUGGUACCAAAAAAGUUUUAUUUUGUGGCACCAUACUUACUGGUAUAACUCCUCAUGUAACAGUCUUAAAAUAGGGAAAACACGAAAGUGUUUGGUGGCUUCCCUGUUUGGUACCAUAGGAAUGAAUGGGGCUAGGCUAAAUGCUAACACAUUCACGACGCGCUGUACAGUGCACAAUAGAUAUGUAUUAAUUCGUCUAAGUUGAGGUAAUAACAUAGUUUAAUAUGGCAAAAGGGUAGACUAUUCCUUUAACUUUAAUUGAGACUAGUAUUGUGUAAAGCUGGGGUUUCCAAACUUCUCAUUUCAAAACCUAUUAGACAACUGUAAUCUAUUCUAGACCCACUAAAAUAUUUUUAAAUAUUAAUUUUUUAAUGGGGUAAAACACAUUUGUUCUCUUUCAGUGGAGUCAUUUUAUUUUCAUAAUAUUUCAUAAUGUAAAGUAAAUAUAAGUUUAUUUGCAAUACCAAAUAUUUUAUGGUAUAUUCUUUCAAAACCAUUGUCAUUGUUAAUUAUUAAUUUGGCCAAACUGUUGUUGCAUCAUUACGGUGUGCAACACACCUUAACCUACUGUGUGACGGACAAGUAGGUCCUCCUGACACACAAUUUAAAAUCCCCUGGUGUACUGAAUGUUGUAUUGUAAUUAAAGUUGCAUCUAAGUC